Molecule: long non-coding RNA, 2639 nt
Organism: Melospiza melodia melodia
Lineage: Eukaryota; Metazoa; Chordata; Aves; Passeriformes; Passerellidae
Exons: 7
Source: RefSeq, a predicted model, not a curated record
AUAAUACAUCAAUAUAAACGAUAAAUAUAUAUAAAAUGUCAACUAUCUAUAAGAAGGAAUAAAAGCUCUGUGUCACGUGCAGCAGUAGAAAAUUUCAGGCUCCCAGGGAAUAAAUAGUUUUCUUUAAAUCAUUUUCGUUUUGGAUUUUUUUUUUUACUCCCGGGUAGCCUGAAAGUUUCUACUGCUGCUUUUUUAUUCUAAAGGUGGAAAGGAAAACCAAGAUCAGAAAUACAAGAAAGGGGAAGGGGAAGGGAAGGAAGGGAAGCAGGAGAGGAAGAGGGAAGGGAAGUGGUGAAAAACAGGGUGAAAAAAGUAAAAAGAGUUGGAGGGAAAAAGAGAGGGCAUCCGGGAAGAGCGGUGCUGCCUCAGGUCCUUCCCCGCCCUGGGGCGAAGGACCCGUUUGAUGCCCGGGAGGGAGUGCAGGUCCCGGUGGCUCCCGGGGGACGGAGCGGUGGCUGUCAGCCCGAGACUCCAACUCCCGGCAGGCCGUGCUGCCGGCGCGGCGUGUGACGCAACGGCUAUCGCGGCACAUGAGUGGCUGUCAGCCCGAGACUCCAACUCCCGGCAGGCCCUGCUGCUGGCGCGGCGUGUGACGCAACGGGCGACGCGGCCCGGCAUUUUUCUCUAAAUCGGCAGUAAAUACAGCUGAGUAAAAUUAGCUUGGUUUUCUUCCUUCUUUUGUAACUGAACUGUUUUUAUUAAAAAUCCUAUUUGAAUAUGUAGAAAAAGUGGGGAUGUCCUGUAAUAUAUCGUAGCUUUUCUUGUUUACAGGGUACUGAGAAAAUACGUCUCCCUUAGAGUCCCGCGGAAAGGUUCUCAGUGCGCUCUCUAUCAAGGAAGUGUUGGAAGUUAGUGUUUUGGGAAAGAAACGGCAGUUCCACAGAACAUUCCAUUUCACAGAGGCUCUGGGAACGAUUCAUGUUUGCUAUGAGUCUUGAUAAAUUGGAGAAGAGCCCAAGAGAAAUUUUUCAUCCCUUGAUAUAAAAGGAUUUAUUGGUUCUGGAAGAACAAGAGGGAAGUACAAGCCUAACUACUUCUAGCUCACAGGCCCGUCCAGUGAACCCAGGGACCGGUGAAUUUUAACUUUGGAGUCCCCUAUGCUAAGGAUGCUCAGCUUACAGGUGAUGAAAUGUUCAGUAAUGUAUUUGCUGCAGCUCUGCUUACCCAAGCUUUGGGUUCCUUCUGUCCCACUGGGAGUUGCCCAGUUUGGUUGCAUCUGGUGAAAUUCACCCUGAGACCUUACAGAACUAGCUCCAACUACGUGAGAGCCAUUUGCAGUUCUCUCCAGACACCUGGAGAAUGGGUGACGUUUCUGAGGAUCCGGCGAGCGUGCUUCUAUCAAAACUCAGUCUGUGAAAUUCCUGGGGAAAACCCUUCUGUGUCCUGAAGGGUUCAAACUCUGGUGAGGAUCCAGUUAUCAGGGGCUCACCUGGAUGGUUCCAGCUCCCAAAGUUAACACUUCUACUCUUGCCCUGUAGUUUACAUCUAUUGUAUUUUUGUUAUUUUGCAACAUUUUUUGUCUUUGCAAAAUAUUGUGCAUUUCACUCUUUGGAACCUCUCAGAUGGUUCUUUGGUGCAGCACCACCCCAGGGGACACUUGGCUGCUGUCCUGAAGGGUUUGGUCGCUAGAAUUGUGAAUCCUGGAGAGUUUGUGAGUCUUCUGUCCCCAGGGAGGUGUCGUGCUUUGUUUACUUUUGUUCUGUUGGUUAGGCGCUGCUUCUCGUUGCAAGUAUGAAUUUCAAACUGCCCUGUUCUUAUUUUAACUGUUUUCCUGGUUCUCUCUGUCCGGCAGGGAAAGACUCUCGUAUCCUUGUCGUCGGGCUCGGUGCUGUCCAAGAAGAUACGGGGACUAAAAAAAUCAUAAGAAGCAAAAUAUGACUGCAGGGAAAAGAAGCUGGAGAGAACAGAAGACUCAUCACGGCGGGACAGCGUGAGGACUGAAAGUGUAAGAAGAUGUGGAGGGAAAGAGAGAAUCUGACAGGAGCAGCGAACGCACGAGUGCAGGAAUUUUGCUUUUUGCUUGGAUGUAAACUCAGGAGUUGAGAGGAAUUUGGGAGUGAGAAGGGACAUUUCAGAAGGAGAAGAAGAAAAAGAGGUUGUUGUUGUUGUUACAGUCCUGGCAAAAUCUUUUGUUCUAGCUAAUAAAAGAAGUUAGUUUAAAAAACAAAAAGGAAAAAAUGUAGUGUUUUUUUUUUCCUUCACUAUGAUAUUCAUUGGUGGUAUAUGGUGUGUUGUUUCAUUUCUUGGUAUUAUUAACUCUGUGUAAAUUGUUUUUUGAGUGAAGCUGACUUUCUGGAUGGGUUGGUUUGUAUUUGAGGCAGGAUUAAUUUCAGUAGGGUUCUUUCAUAGAUUUCUGAUGGGUAUUACUGGGAUUUUGGUUUUGUUUACUGUAUGUAUGAACCUAGAGCUUUGGUAGGGCCAGCUGGGCUGCUGGAGUUUUGGGUGUGAAUUUAUUAGAUGGCUUUUGUUAGAUGCAGUUUUUAAUUUUUGAAAUGUUUUUCAAUGUAGUGGUUUUAAGGUGGUUUUUAAGAAUUCAUUGUAUUGCUUUAUCUUGUUUGUAGUUGGUGUAUGAUAAGGGAUGUGGUGUGAGUUCUUGAACAUUAUGGUUUUGGUGUUCCUAAGUUCUGAUUUCUUUGUGG